Long non-coding RNA from Haliotis rubra (blacklip abalone), 744 nucleotides. RefSeq lists it as uncharacterized. The record is from RefSeq and is a predicted model, not a curated record. Lineage: Eukaryota; Metazoa; Mollusca; Gastropoda; Lepetellida; Haliotidae. The transcript has 2 exons.
CCCUUACAUGAGAGUAAAUGUGACACCCCUUACAUGAAAGUAAAUGUGAUGCCCUUACAUGAAAGUAAAUGUGAUGCCUUUACAUGAAAGUAAAUGUGACACCCUUACAUGAAAGUAAAUGUGAUGCCCUUACAUGAAAUAAAUGUGGCACCCUUACAUGAAAGUCAAUGUAACACCAUUACAUGAGGUGAGGUGAAAUUGGAUUUAACGUCGUGCUUGAGAAUAUUUCGCUCAUGACGACGUGCAUUCAUGUCUGUGUGUGUAUGUAUGGCACCCUUACAUGAAAGUAAAUGUGAUGCCCUUACAUAAGGUAAACGUGACACCUUUACAUAAAAUAAUUGUGACACCCUUACAUAAAGUAAAUCGAGACAAUGUUACAUACAGUAAGUUUAGGUAUCCUCACAUGAUUAAAAUGGACAUGCAUGCACUGGAUUCUCACUGUGAAUUGUUGAUACUCAACAGUGAAUUAACAUACUCUUGACACAGUUUUCCCCAUUUUUGAGCACAAUUGUGAUGUAGUUUGCUUUUAUUCGGUCAUGGUAUUAUUUUAAUACCAUUUAUGAAUAUGAACCAUUGUUAUUCAGAAUAAGUGAACAAUAAAUGAAUUGUUUCUUGUCUUGAUGUUGAAAUAUGAGACAUCUCCUGCAGUUGCUGCCUUGUGACUUUGGUAAGGCAGUUGUAUGGUUUUGUCUGUACUACACCAGAUUGUUUUCGGUUUGAAAAUAAAAUCUUUUUGUACUAAAA